Molecule: ribosomal RNA, 1247 nt
Filed under: metagenome
Description: bacterial SSU rRNA
Rfam family: Bacterial small subunit ribosomal RNA
Source: RNAcentral
AGAGUUUGAUUCUGGCUCAGAACGAACGCUGGCGGCGUGGAUAAGACAUGCAAGUCGAACGCUAACUUCAGGGUAGCAAUAUUCUGAAGUUGGAGUGGCGCAAGGGUGCGUAACACGUGGGCAAUUUGCCAUAAAGUUGGGGAUAACUUGCUGAAAGGCGAGCUAAUACCGAAUGUGACUGUGGGGAGGCAUCUUCCGGCAGUUAAAGUUGGGGACCGCAAGGCCUGACGCUUUAUGAUGAGCCCGCGGCCUAUCAGCUAGUUGGUGAGGUAACGGCCCACCAAGGCUAAGACGGGUAGCUGGUCUGAGAGGACGACCAGCCACACUGGAACUGAGACACGGUCCAGACACCUACGGGUGGCAGCAGUCGAGAAUUUUUCUCAAUGGGCGAAAGCUUGAAGGAGCGACGCCGCGUGGGGGAUGAAGGGCUUCGGCCUGUAAACCCCUGUCAUUUGCGAACAAACCUGCUCAUCUAACACAUGGGCAGCUGAUUGUAGUGAAAGAGGAAGGGACGGCUAACUCUGUGCCAGCAGCCGCGGUAAUACAGAGGUCCCAAGCGUUGUUCGGAUUCACUGGGCGUAAAGGGUGCGUAGGUGGCGGAACAAGUUCGAUGUGAAAUCCCCGGGCUAACCCGGAAAAGGCAUUGAAAACUGUUUCGCUAGAGGGUCGGAGGGGAGACUGGAAUUCUCGGUGUAGCAGUGAAAUGCGUAGAUAUCGAGAGUACACCAGUGGCGAAGGCGAGUCUCUGGACGACUCCUGACACUGAGGCACGAAAGCUAGGGGAUCAAACAGGAUUAGAUACCCUGGUAGUCCUAGCUGUAAACGGUGCACAUUUGCUGUAAGAGCAUUCGACCCCUUUUGUGGCGAAGCUAACGCGUUAAAUGUGCCGCCUGGGAAGUACGGUCGCAAGAUUAAAACUCAAAGAAAUUGACGGGGGCCUGCACAAGCGGUGGAGUAUGUGGCUUAAUUCGAUGCAACGCGAAGAACCUUACCUGGCCUUGACAUGCAAGUGGUAAAAGGAUGAAAGUUCGAUGACCCCGCAAGGGGAGCUUGCACAGGUGCUGCAUGGCCGUCGUCAGCUCGUGUCGUGAGAUGUUGGGUUAAGUCCCGCAACGAGCGCAACCCCUGUGUCCUGUUGCCACCCGAACGAGAGUUCGGAGCACUCUGGACAGACUGCCUCGCUUUAACGAGGAGGAAGGUGGGGAUGACGUCAAGUCAGGAUGGCCCUUACGGCCAGGGCUGCACAC